This 251-nucleotide ribosomal RNA is filed under the name uncultured bacterium. RNAcentral's name for it is "partial 16S ribosomal RNA". It matches the Rfam family "Bacterial small subunit ribosomal RNA", at positions 15 to 275 of the family's 1533-position model. The record is from RNAcentral.
GAUCAUGGCUCAGGAUGAACGCUGGCGGCGUGCCUAACACAUGCAAGUCGAGCGAUUUACUUCGGUAAAGAGCGGCGGACGGGUGAGUAACGCGUGGGUAACCUGCCCUAUACACACGGAUAACAUACCGAAAGGUAUGCUAAUACGAGAUAACAUAAGUAAUUCGCAUGGAUUUCUUAUCAAAGCUUUUGCGGUAUAGGAUGGACCCGCGUCUGAUUAGCUAGUUGGUAAGGUAACGGCUUACCAAGGCG